GUUUGCGUGUCCGAGUGGUCGAUGGUGCCUCCCCGCUAAGGAGGUGUGCGGCAACGCACCGGUGGUUCGAAUCCACCCGCAAACG
This 85-nucleotide transfer RNA is filed under the name [Clostridium] aminophilum. RNAcentral's name for it is "Clostridium aminophilum tRNA". It matches the Rfam family "tRNA". From Rfam's summary of the family: Transfer RNA (tRNA) molecules are approximately 80 nucleotides in length. Their secondary structure includes four short double-helical elements and three loops (D, anti-codon, and T loops). The record is from Rfam by way of RNAcentral. Lineage: Bacteria; Bacillati; Bacillota; Clostridia; Lachnospirales; Lachnospiraceae.